Orcinus orca (killer whale) is the source of this 12273-nucleotide long non-coding RNA. RefSeq lists it as uncharacterized. The transcript has 10 exons. The record is from RefSeq and is a predicted model, not a curated record. NCBI's taxonomy places the organism in Eukaryota, Metazoa, Chordata, Mammalia, Artiodactyla, Delphinidae.
UCCCAGGAAUAGUUCUUGGUAUGCAUAGAGAUCACAGAUAAAGAACAGGCCUGGCGCUGCACAAUUGAUAUGAUCUAUAUGUAAAGAGUUGAAAGUGUAUGUCUUUUUCCCUGAAUCAUUAUGACAAACAGUGGUAAGGAUUUCAGUCGACACUUUGUAGCCUGCUUUUCCUGAAUGAAGAUAUAUUUUUCUUUUCUAUUUUUCACGAGAUGUUGCAUUAGGAAUAAGUAUCAAGUGAGGAGGUAUUUCUACCAUGGGGAUAGUUUAAUGGGAUUUCUUGGUAAGCUUGGUAAGUAUUUUUAUUUCCUCUUUGCAUGGGUUAUGAAAGUACCAUAAACACUCAAGAUUAUUUUAAGAGGUGAUUGGGUUGAUUUUUCUCUCUGGAUAAAAUAUUGGCUGUGUGUAAUUCUAUAUAAUUAUAACAACCAGCCUGAAUGUCUGGGUUGGGAGAUAAUCAUUGUAAGUAUAAAGGAGAUGUUCAGAUCAUACUCUUGACGGGCUGUUUGCUAGUGUUAAGCAGAGGUAUUCCUAUGAUUUGAGUGACCCCUGGAGUUGGAAAUGGGUAACAGGCCCAGCAAGAGGUCAGGUUAGUAGAUGAGGAAACAUUCUUAGAAACAAGGUGAGGAAGUAAUAUAUUUUGUUUCAGAAAAGGGAGGGGAAAAUGAAGAAAAGUAGAGUCAUAGAAAACACAGAGAAGGAAAUCAGUAGUCCAUAGUGACAUAUUAACAAUCUUACAAGGAAGGCAGUAGGUUUGAUUGGAUAUAAUAAAGUUCUAGUUUUGUUUCAUUGUCUUGGGUGGAAUUUGCACUUCUGAAGUUGUCUGCUUGAUCAGAAAGGUCUCCGAUAACCUGUUUGUGCCUUGAAGCCAUCUGCUUCUGGAGGCUUCUUUGGUUAGCCUCAACUUGCAGUCUGUCAUGGGAGUGAACGUCCAUUGGUCUGAGUUGGAAGUUCCUUUUCAUUAUGACAUAUUACACCCUGGGUAGACUUCUGUAGCUGUUGUCAAGAGGACCUGAAAUGGCUCCUUUCAGUAAUUUAAAGCAUUUUUGCAUCUAUAUCACUUAGUAUUUUCUGCAAAACAAACCACCCCCAGACUAGGUAGGUUAAAACAACCAUUUAUUUAUUCAUGAUUCUGUGGAGCAAUUUGGCUGGGAACAGCUGGGAUAGCUUUGCUCUGCUCUGCUCCUCAUGGUGUUGUCUGGCCUUAUGCACACAUUAUAGUCCGCUGAUAGUUGAUGGUCUCAUUCACACAUCUGGCGGUUGCUGGCUGUUGGCAGGGCAACGGAGGUAACUGGGCCCAUCAUCUAGCAGGCUAGCCUGAGCUCAUUCACAUGAUAUUGGUUGAGAGUUCCUAAGAGCAGCAAGAGAGGGCAAACUCCAAUGUGCGAGCAGUUUUCAAACCUCUGCUUGGGUCAUGUUGUUAAUGCCUUGUUGGCCAAAGCAAGUCAUUUCCAAGCCCAGACUCAAAGAAUAGAGAAAUAGUCUCCAUCUCCUUAUGGAAAGAUCUGCAGUCACAUACAAAGAAGCAUGCAUAUGGGAUGGGAAGAAUUUGUGGCCAUUUUUGCAAUUAAACACACACUGAUAUCUUUUCUGGUGAAGCUGGUCACUGAGCUAGGAGUCAUACAAAGAUGUGGAUGAUGUGUCUUUUGGAAAGGUGGCUUGUGCAUGUUGAGCAUAAGACAGUACACUAGAUUGACUUCUUACAGUAUUCAGCUAGAUCUGCAUGCAACAAAAUAGAGUGAUUGGUGGCAUUUUUCCCAAUCACAUAGGACAUCCUGUAAUGAUGUCCUAUGGAAAACAAUCUGUAUGAGCUCUGAGGAGGUGAUCAUGUGGCCGUUAACAAUACUGACAAAACAUUAGACUAAGGCAGAUUAAGGAUUUUUGAUAGUUUAGGAGUCAGCAAAUUUUCUCAGUGAAGGGCCAGAUAGUAAAUUUUAUAUCGGCUUUGAAGGCCAAAUAUAAUCUCUGUCACAUAUUCCAUAUUCUCUUCCUCCUCCUUUUUUUUUUUUUAAACAAAAUUUUAAAAUACGUAAGAAACACUUUUUUAGCUUGCGGACCGUAUGAAGAGUCUGUAGGCCAGAUUUGUCCCAUGGGCUGUAGUUUGCCAACCCCUGAUUGGGACAGUUUUAUCUUCAGUGUCUCAUUUAUUCUUUCUACCUUUCCUGCAUGGGGAGUACAGUUUUUAUGUUAGGAGAGAAACCCUGCAGAGUUCCUAUAUGAUUGUUACAGUGAAAUGAAUUCCACAGUCACUGGGUAGGAAAGUAGGCAUUCCCCAUGCUAGGAACACAAAGUCUAACAACUGUAACAUCUGUAGCUUCUCAUCAAGGAAUGGGUUUUUCCAUCCUGAAAACUUACAGACUACUGAUAGUAAAUAUAGCCUAGAGACCUGGCUAGUUGUAUAAAAUCGGUUACUAAAUGUUCAAAGGGCCUUGAGAAGGAGUUUCUGUAUUUUGUCUUGACCCUCUCGGGUUUACCUGGGUUAUGUUAGCACAGGUAAGAUGUAAUUUUACCACUUCCUAGUCAAAUUUUGAAAAUUUUUCCAUUAUUUAUCUACUGUGGAACUUGAUUUGUUCCUGAUGUAGAAAAUCAUGGGAAAUUUAAUUAGCAUCCACUGGUUGGAUCGUGGUACUCCUGAGCAGUUGUCAGGAGAUUCUCAGAACCCAUCUUUAUGGAGAAAAUGUCCCUGUAAUUGCCAAUAUUGUUUUUCAGAAGUUUGGGUUGACUGUUAUGAGCCAAUUAUAGCGAGUCUAAAUUGAGCCAGUUUUCCUUCCAAGUUUGGUGGGGAUACAUGUCAAUUUGGUAGAACUCAUAGUUGGGGUAAUAAAAGCUGCUUGUUAGAAUGUGAGUUAGCAAGGGCAUUCAUUGGUUUCUGGAAGAAGGUGUUGUCUAUGAGUAUCUCCCUUAACUGACAGGUGUUUUUCAAUAUCGAAUAGCUUUUAGUGAAUCAUUAAUAUCUUUACCAUUUUCAUUAAGGUAUCUUAAGAAACCAAAAUCCCCUUUUUUUCCCUUAGCAUCCCAAAGUUAUGAACAAUUCCAAAGUCAUAUAUAUCUGUUUAAUGUUUACCAUUUCUCCAUUUGCCAGAGUGCAAGUCAGAGAAAUCAGUUCAUUCACAUGGGCAGAUUGAACAUUAGGCAAAAUGGAGCAGCUGGUAGCUGCAUGUUCAGUGGUGGCAGUGUAUCCUGCUCAGGAAGUGCCUUUAUCCUUUCUAAGAUAAGAGCCAUCUACAAACAGACUUAAAUUAGAAUUGACUAAAAUUUGACCUGGGCAUUCUUAUGUAUAUAGUUUUUGCUUUUUCCUGAAGUAUAUAAUUUACACAGAAAAUUGCUCAUCCUGAAGAGCUCAGUGAAUUUUCACACGUGUAUACAUACCUGUGUAACUACCUCCCAGCUGGAAAUAGAACAUUUCCUAGCACUUCAGAAGGUUCCUUUGUGCCCCCUUCCCAGUUAAAACAUACCCCUUCUUGUCCAGAGGUAACCACCUUUCUGACUUCUACCACCAUCAGUUAGUUUUGCUUGUUCUUGAAUUUCGUGUAAGUGGAAUCAUACAGUGGAUAGUCAUUUCCUUUUGUCUGCUUUUGUGCAGUAUAAUGUCUCUGCGUUCAUCAAUAGUUUGUUAUAUUUAUCGUCAUGUGGCAUUCCAUUGUAUAUAUAUUCCACAAUUUAUUUAUUUAUUCUCCUUUUGACGGACACUUGAGCUAUUGCUACUCUUAAUUCUGAAUAAAGCUGCUAUGAAUAUUAUUGUAUUCUGGUGGACAGAUGCACUAAUUUCUCUUGGGUAUUUUUCUAGGUAAUAGGGUAAGCAGAUGUUUAUAUUUAGUAGGAUUUAGGCAUUCUUAAUCCCCGAGAUAUCAUUAAACAGUCAUGGAUUCCUCUUCAUCUAGAAGGGGAAGUGAGUGGUGGAAUUAAAAUGUGAAUGACGUUAAGCUGCGAUACGUGAAGUGCACAGUGAAGAAUUUCCUAAGCCGUACAGCAGCUGACAGAGAAAAGCUGAGUGUUGCCUGUAAGUAUCAGGGAUUGCACAGCACAUGGAAUGCAGAGUUAGUGCAGAAGUAAGCGCUCAUCAGCCUAGAGCAGAAGCUUUGAUCAAUUAGAUGCUGCUGCCCUCAUAUGUGGGCAGGGAGGGUGGGUUGUGACUCCAGAUCAAAAGAGUUGUUCAGAUAGGCAACAGACUUCUGGUGUGAACCUCUCUACUAAAUUAACACACCUAGCGCUCGCUUCGGCAGCACAUAUACUAAAUUAACACACCUAUUAGGCAACCUUGUCUUCCCUGAACGAUUAGAAGGGUUUGGCACAAUUAGGGACAUGCAAAGUAUAGAGUUGCUGUGGGGAGCUUCUACCUUAGGAAGGGUUCUGGAUUCAUGUUUUAGUACUCUUGUUUGGGCAAUCCUGAAUAUCCUCUCAGUUGUUUUUGAGUUUAGGCGCUUGAAUAUAAUGGAAUAGUUUUUAUUUUGGAGGAGGACAGAGAGUGUCUGCCUAUAGACAGAUCAUGACCAAAAUUAAGUAGUUUCAUAUUUUAUAGUUAGUUUGUAGUUACAAGUUUUCAAUUAUGUAGACCAGAAUUACAUAGAAUUGUAACUUUUCUCUAGACGCUUUGUGUCCUUUUUCAGUCAAUUUUAUUAAGAGAUAUUUGAAGCCUUCCUGUGAACAACUCGGAUCAGGAGAACACAGCAAUAAAUUAUCUACCUGUUGUAUUAGAGUGGAUUCUCAUGGGAAAAUGGAAUCAUUAAGGUAAUUUACUUGGACACUGAGAAAAAUAUGAGGGUGAUUCCAUAAGUCCUCAAGCCCCAUGGUAUUUGCACAUGUCCUCAAGCCCCUCAAGUCCUCAAGCAAGAAAGCAACCAAUUCUUCUUAACUACUGGUUGCUAAAGAAUGCUGCACAUAUAUCCACUGCCAUAAAAUAAUUACUUGUAGAGGGAAUGGAGAACAAGGUAGUAUUUGGGUAGGAAUAUGAUGAAUCUAAGAAUCAUAAUUCUUUUGAUUUCUCUGAGGUCUUAAAUCAGUAGCAUUUCCCAUUAGGUUUAUUAAUUAGCAAUGUGAGCAUUGCAAGGACUGGUGCAGCAGAAUUAGCCCAUGUUCUUAAAAAAUGGCUUUGAAUACGAGAUCCUUCAGGUUUGAGUAAGUCUUGGGUAAUUUAGGCAGGUGUUUAUAAGGAUAGAUCUGAAUCUUAAUAGGGUCAGUAUUAAUAAGCAUAGCCCUUAGCCUUUGGAUAUGGUUCUUAUUCCUAAGCUAUGGCCCUUCUAGGAUUUCAGUGGAAUGUUCAAAUUGUUUACCGGGCUCCUCUCAAUUGGAGGGACUCUGUCUUUCCAGUAUUAGGCAACUGUUGACAUCUCUACUCAGCUCUUUCAUACUUCCAGCUGUUGCUCUCCACUGGAUCCUUGGAUUUUCACCCAGCACAUGUCAGGAGUCAGCUAAGGAUUUGAGAGUUUGUAUGAAAAUAUUGCAACCCCCAUCUGUGGCUCUCUUCUUUAUGGACUUUCCCUGACCAAUAUUCAGCCUUUCUGAGAGCCCUGAACACUGGUCCUGACUUCCAAGCCCAGCAAAACUGCCCCUUUGCUUGAGUGUAUCCUCCACACGUUGGGAAGUACCCCGGAUAAAUGUGGAUCUCAACAAGUGUGUUUUCCUUCUUUCAAGGUAUGAAUGUUCUCUUGUUCCUGCCUGUUUUUGGUUCCUCUUCAGUGCCUUCAAAUGACUGGUUUUUAUAUUUUGUCCAGAGUUUGUAAUUGUUACUGGCAGGAGGCUUAGUCUGUUAUAAAUACUUUACCAUUACUAGAAACCAGAAUAGGAGCAGCAGUAAAAUGGUGAGUGAGAGGUAGCCAGACCUUCAUUUUUUAACCUUCUCCUUCCUUCUGUCUCCCCUCUCUGCCAUCAAUCUUUCCACCACUGACCCUCACCUAGAAAGGCCCUGGAUCUCAGUAAGAAGAAAGGAACAGAAUAGGCUAUUGGCAUGAAGGGGUGGCUCAAGAAUUUGGGGAAGAAAGAUGAUCUCCCUCUGCAAAGACAUCAGCUCUUUAAUCUCCUAUUUCUUGUGAGCAGGCCUACUUUGGAGGACUGAAAUCCUAAUGUAUACACAAUGGUAUUCUGCACAGAGAGGAGAGUGAGAGAAAGGCAACCUUUGCCAUGUGAUUGGACUCAGAUCUGUUUACCAGAUCAAAGCCCGUGGGUAAUGGAAACUUCAGAGGGGGAGAGGGUGGGCCCGGGGAGCAGUGCCCGCAGCAGCUACUUAGCUGAGUGCAUCAUUCUGUACGCUCUGGAGCCUGAACUGCAUGGCUUGGAAAUGCUAGCUCUCUUCAGACUUGUCACAGGAGGGUUCUGGGGCGCUGGAAGUGCUCAGGGAUGCUGGAUGCUAGGAAUGUUUAUAGAGUGAAGCUGCUGGAUCACGUUCCUCUCCUAUUCUGUAGACAUCUCUUGUUUCUUAAGGGAAAAGCAACAAGUUCUUGGUUCCCCUAACAUGUGUGUAGCUAAUUUUGAAACUAUUAACAUUUCCUGAUGAUAAACUUUUUUUUUUUUUUUUUUUAAUAGCCAGCAGAAAUGUAUUUCUUCUAGUUCUGGAGGCUGGAAGUCUAAGAUCAGGGUGCCGGCAUAGUCAGCUCCCUCCCAUUUCUGAUCCGAUGAGGCCUGAUCUGGUGACAGCUCAUUUUGCAGACAACACAACUGGAGAAAAUCCAGGUAUGAAGUCCAGGUAGAGUCGAUGGGAUAGAGGUAGAAAGAGAUCACUAUGAUGUACUUGCAAUUAUGUCUGGUGACUUCUCCUUGCAUUCUUACAUAAGCCAGAUAAGUAUGUCUUUAUUAAUGGAGAGGGGUAGUGGCAAGGGGUGGGAUGGAGGAAUGCAUUUCACAACUUUAUAUAUAUAUAUGUCUUCAAUUUGAAACUUCUCUUGGUUUCCAUAGCCCAGCUGCAGAAGGCCACCCAAUUAGUUAAAAAGAAAAAAGGUUUGAGAUCAUGGCUGGGUUACUUCAUGUGGACUAAAAUAGAGGAAAUGGCUACAAUUGCUUUGCCAGGGAUGUCCAACCCUGCAUUAGACUAAAAAGGCAUCUUACAGCAUCGGACAACUUAAAAAGAUGUAAUAAGGGAACUGCCUACUUUGCACAUCUGUUAAGAACAUCUGGCUCUGGCCUGAGCCCUGGUAACUUUGACAGUUAGUUGGUGGCCCACAGAUUGAAAAAGAGACAAACCCUCAACCUGUCAGCCUCGUCUGUGGAAUUUCCUGGUGGCAUAACUACCAAGCUCAAGGGCGAAAAGCAGCUGGGGCAUUUGUGCAGCUGCCCACAUUGCCUGUGCUGAGCUUACUUCCUGACGGCGGAUUUAAAAGAGAGGGGCUUUUGAAGACUCAGGUGCUGGCCUCAGAAAGCAGUACCUCUGCACCCUGCCCCAGAGGGCCCUUCACCAUGAGCAUCUUGGGGGGCGUCUAGGAGGCUUAAUCCCUCAAUUACUGCUCUCUUUCUUUUGUGGUACUGGGUUGUUGACGAGAUGUGCCCUGUGGCAGGUUGCAUUUUCCAAAGAUGGUUGUGACGACAUCCCUCAUCCCACGUGCUCGUCUGCAGUGCUACUGUCAAGAGGCAGAGGCUUCUGUCCCUGCCCUUGAAUGGAACCGGCCACAGUGACAUGCUUGCAUCCAAUAAUGUGGCAUGGAGGUGGUGACUUCUGAGGUUAGGCCAGGAAAGCCAUGCAGCUUCCUCCAGGUUUUCUCACAAGACUUGCUUUCUGGACAUCCCUCCUGAGGUGCUCUAUCUCAGAGCUGGUCGCCAUGCUGUGGGAAACCCAAGUCACAUGGAAAGGCCACACACGUGUGCUCCUGUUGACAGUGCCAGUGGAGGCUGGCCUUUGAGUCAUUUCAGCCUUGGUACCAGACAUGUACUGGAGAAAGAUGCCCAUUCCUCUGGGACAGUGCAGUCCUGCCCCACAGCACACAGCCUCGCAGGCGAAGUGCAGGCUCCUUUCAUCCCCCUCCUGAACCUGGUCAGAUAUCUUCGGCAGCUUACACACUGCACAGUUGUACACAGCGGCCCUGGAGAAGUGUAAAAGUCUAGCCCUGGAAAUCCUGGUAAAGCUACAAGCAGACUAAAAAGUAUCAUUCACAGCACAAGUGACGUGUAAAACUUGGAAUUGAAAAUAUAUUGGAAUGUGUUUAGGAGAACAGUCAUUUGAUUUAAACAUGAUCUAAACACAUGCUUCACACGGUCAAGUUUAGCUCGUGACAAGAGAAGAAUGGAGAUUGGAUUCUUUGCUGGGCCUAAGUAACCUGAGAUUGUCUGACGGGGGCUUCCAUUAGCCCCGUGUUCACUAAAGCUUGCCACACCACCAGCAAUGGUUUGCACCUUUUCUCAGCGUCUUUGUGGAUGCCAGGUGAGGGGUGGCAGUGAUGAGCAUCCCUUCUGUGGCCACACAGAGUCCACGGGUUUUCAAGGUCUUCAGAGGAGCACUUCAGUUUUCAAGUCAACACCCCUUUUCUUCAUCAACUUUGAGUGAAAAUCGUAAUAAAACACACAACGGGUUGUAAUGGAGAAGCAGCAUACUGUAAUUUGAGAGAAGAAUUACAGAUUUUUAGAAUAAUAUUUGAUGGUGCUUUGGAAUAUUUUUAUGGUUGAACACUUACGUCCUGGGAGCAGGACUCUGUGAGCCUACCUACUUUUCCCAACUAAGCCACCCAGUUUCACUUCUAGUCUGUGGUCAGUUGUCUUCACGGUCAGUCUCCUGGCUGAGACAUAUACGCAGAGCUUCUGGUUCCAACCCUCGCAUUUUAGAGUUCAGAGAAGCGGAGGCCACAGGUAUAGGAGGGACAGAGCUGGUCCCAGAACGUGCCUCAUCCUUCUCAUUGCAGUGCCACUUCUCCCAGGCCGUGCACCACCUUUACAGGCUGCAGGACACCAGAGGACCAGGGACCAGUUGUUAGGAGAGAGGCCAGGGGACAGUUAAAAGUGAUAUUACUUUGUGGCAUUCACAGCUGCGAGGAGUGAUGGCAGCCAGAUGUAUUCAUUCGAUCCAUUCAGUGAUUAUUCAUCCAGUACUUUCUCAUCCAGUACUUUCUAUGUGCUGGGGACUGGUUUAGGCACUUGGGAAACAGAAAUGAACAAAAUUGCAGAAUUCCUCAUCCUCAUGGAGGCCACAUUGUAGCAAAAGGAAAAGGAAGCGCACAGUCCUAACUGUGUCCCAGUCCUGUCCUCAACAAUGUACAUAUGUUAACUCAUUGAAUCCUCACAAUGGCCCUUUGAGGUAGGUAGGAUUGGUUUUUUUUGUUUUUUUUUUUUUUGGUAGGAUUGUUAAUCACAUGUUGCAGGUAAAGAAACUAAGGAACAGGGAAUAAAAAUUAAGAAACUUGCUCAAGGUCAUGCAGCGAGUAAAUAACCAGCCUGGGAUCCAGCACUAGCUAUUUGGCUGUGAAUUCCUGCUCUGAACCACUGCACUUGACUGCCUGAUUCAUGAGUGAGGUUAGAGCCGUGGUCUUCUUUCUUUUCUUUCUUUUUUUUUUCCUAUAAGCAGCGGAAGCCUCCCUCUUUUUAGAAAUGAACUUCCAUGUGGAGGACCAAAAAAUAAAAUAAUAAAAGUGGCCCUGUUCUGGAUGAAGAGAAUGGAGAGGGUGGGGAAUUCACAUUGUUCUCGCUGGAUGGCAGGAGCUGAUCAGUAGAUGCCUGCUUCCAGAGAGCCUCUGCUCCUCCUUGGUUCCCACCCUGUUAGACCUGGCACCCUGCACCAAGGCUUUAGAAAGAGCUGGAGUGGAUGUACGGAAAAUGGGACAACAGACACGUCUGGGUCAGCCCUGGGAGGUUAGAGGAGUUGUAGUAGUGGUGCCAGCAGAAUAACUCAGGAAUUUUCAGUCUAUACCCCGACAGUGUGUGUUUGGGGGACUCUCUCCCAUCCUUUGAGAAUAACUGAUGCUGUGGUGCUCUUCUGUGCCUGAUGGCAGAGGGUCUUAUAAGGGGGAGAGUGGGAGGUUGAAGGUACACUGAAAACCCGGGGAUGCUUUUCUUCUUCUCAUCAUUCCUUCUUUUGCCUCCUGCCUUGACUAUCUCUGGCCCUGCGUGAUGGAGCCACAGACAGUGCCAGAAAGAGGCCUCACAGCUCUCGGGCUGAUGGUGUGUAUCCCUUUGAACAUCCACUGAGGUCAAGUUUUACAGACUUCUAAUGGCUACUGUGGCAGUAUCGAGGCAAUGGCCUUCUAGUGGCACCGUUAUUUCACCAUCUCUUAAAAGAGUAGAAUAAAUAUUACCCCUGCUCUUCCCAAGGAACCUGCCCAAAGUUGCCAGAUUCAAAGUUUCAAAGGGCAGUUCCUGGGGUAUUUUGUUUCCGAAAGUCCUGGAACGGAGCAGUUUAUAAAGUCAUUUUGCUAAGCCUUUCUUUUGCAGCCACUCCCAUUCCCAGCCCUCAGUAAUCAGCUGGAAGUUUGGAGAUCACUUGCCCUGGCCAGCCUGGAGGUAGCUUUUCCCCAGCUACUCCUCCAGGUUCCUUUUCACUGGCCUCUGCUUUGAAUUGUUAAUUUCCUCUCUGAAGGCACUGUCUGACUUUGUUAGCAGGUCUGACACUGUCUGGCUGCUUGCAAAGAGCAACUAGUGCCAAUAAGGUGCCAGCACUCUUCUAGGCAUGGGAGACAUAAAGGGGAAAAAAUCCUUUUUCUAACCUCAAGGUGCUCACAGUUUAGUGGGGAGACAGCCAGGUAAACACGAAAUCACACCGUGGUGUGAUAUCGUAUUGUAAUUGUCAAAGGAAGGCUGUAGUGGGAACGGGACAGAAGGAUUCAUCAUGUGCUUGGGAGAAGCAGGGAAGGCUUUCCGUGUGAGGCAACCGAGAGCUGAGACUUGGAAGAAAAGGAAGAACUUCAGGGGUAUGUACAUCAAGUUGGAAGAAAACCACUGCCAAGGGCUUUGUGGCAUCACGCCACAUGCCAUAUCUAAGGCACUGACUGGGCUGUGUUACCAAAAGAGAGAGGCACUGGGUUCCUAUUCCUACCUCUCUAUAAUCAGGACAAAUCAAAAGUCUUAGUUUAGAAGUUGAUCAUUGCUUCCUUUGAAUUCUCGCCAGAACCUCCUUGAAAACCGGUGCUUUUUAAAAUUUCACCUUCCCCUUUCCCAUCCCAUCUCACCCCCAGGAACAAAUAUAAUGACUUUGCCAAUUAGCACUAAAUAAUGGGAGCUGAGUUGAACAACGAAAGAAUAAAAUGGGAAAUAAAAGAUGGAAAUUAGCCAGCCAGAUUGGGGAGAGCCUUCAAUAUCAGGCUAAGGCAUGUGGGCUUUACUUGGUAGCAGAAGCAAGAAUCUGAUGAGACAAGUAGUAGUAGUGGAGACAAGUUGGAGCUAGAGCUAAGGUUUAGGCCGUCUUCAGUAUGCUGCGAAACAUUAGCUGAAAGCAGCCAGAUGGUAAAAACUUCUCAGUGAAGAGAGAACCCGAAAAGAAAAGAAACGAGAGCUGCACAUGUAAUCUUGAAGACACAACAGUUAGAGAGCAGACCCAGAAAAACCUGUCUUAAAGCAUUGGCUUCCACGUUUGCGGAUAUUAAUAGCACCACCCAGUCUGUCUGCUACUAGGAGUCAUUGAAAUAAUGCAAGAAAAGUGCUUAACACAUUGCCUGGUGCAGAGCACUUAAUAAAUAUUACUCUUCAUUAUUAUUAUAGAAGAGUGAUUUUUUUGUUUUUUGCAUUGAGAUAAGGUCAACUGAUGUACAAAUACUAAUUGUUAAUAUAUGCAUUGAUGAUUUGUUGCCCGGUAACUAUGAUUUUUGAAGUGACAAACUCAUUUCAGUGUUUGCCUUUUAAUUAAAAUGGGUACUUCGGCAUUUUAAAAUUCAUUUUUGAAGGAACCCCCUACUGAGCUGCAGCAUCUCAGGCACAGCAGGGGUAUACUACCAUUUUUAAAAAGCCAGCUAACAAUUAAUGUCAUAAUUUUAUAUUUAUCCUGCUAAUUACGGCAAAGACAAAUCCCAGUUUGUCCACGACUGUGCAAACAAACAAAGAAGGCUUAGCACCAUGAGGCAAGUUACUUGCAAAUUUGCAUAUUAAUUACUGUUUACCACCUCUGCUCCUGUGGCUGAUUACUUCUAACAAAGAGCAGACGUAUACAGUGGCUUGGAUCGUCUGAGACAACCUGAAAUGCAGCCCGCCACUCUCUGAGCAGGCUAGGAGGCUGCUGUGCUUACUAGUGGUGACAUGACCAGAAGGGAACAGUCCACACUCCUGGCUCAAGGGAUCUUUAUGUGAAGAGGCAUUAAGGUUUCUGAGAUGCAUUUUAUAAAGCAUAACAGACAACAAAAGUGAUCCUACAGAUUCUCACUCAAAUAAGACCAUCUU